UUCGAUGAUCGUGGAGCUCUUUUUAUCAUUGUUCUUUCUUCCUUCCUCUUCCUGAUGAUUUUGUCUUGACUCCCUUGACCCGAGCGUGCCUUCAAGCUUGAGUUGAGAGGUCGGCUUGAUCCUUUAGAAAGUUUUCAUCAGGAGAGAAACCUAGGUGCUUGUAUUCAAGCCUUCGUCACCCUGUCAUCAUAGCGAUGGACUUGUCAAGGCAUAAGACCUCGGGCAUGGCAGCGUUAAGACACUCCACGUGGUUGGUUGACAGCUCGCCUUCUCUCUAUCGUGUGGAGAAGGGGCCAUCGUUGAU
Molecule: long non-coding RNA, 304 nt
Filed under: Elaeis guineensis (African oil palm)
Lineage: Eukaryota; Viridiplantae; Streptophyta; Magnoliopsida; Arecales; Arecaceae
Description: long non-coding RNA (EGUI_LNC004657)
Source: RNAcentral